GAUGAACGCUGGCGGCGUGCCUAAUACAUGCAAGUCGAGCGAAUGGAUUAAGAGCUUGCUCUUAUGAAGUUAGCGGCGGACGGGUGAGUAACACGUGGGUAACCUGCCCAUAAGACUGGGAUAACUCCGGGAAACCGGGGCUAAUACCGGAUAACAUUUUGAACCGCAUGGUUCGAAAUUGAAAGGCGGCUUCGGCUGUCACUUAUGGAUGGACCCGCGUCGCAUUAGCUAGUUGGUGAGGUAACGGCUCACCAAGGCAACGAUGCGUAGCCGACCUGAGAGGGUGAUCGGCCACACAGGGACUGAGACACGGCCCAGACUCCUACGGGAGGCAGCAGUAGGGAAUCUUCCGCAAUGGACGAAAGUCUGACGGAGCAACGCCGCGUGAGUGAUGAGGGCUUUCGGGUCGUAAAACUCUGUUGUUAGGGAAGAACAAGUGCUAGUUGAAUAAGCUGGCACCUUGACGGUACCUAACCAGAAAGCCACGGCUAACUACGUGCCAGCAGCCGCCGUAA
Molecule: ribosomal RNA, 515 nt
Filed under: uncultured bacterium
Lineage: Bacteria
Description: partial 16S ribosomal RNA
Rfam family: Bacterial small subunit ribosomal RNA
Source: RNAcentral